GUACACGCUGUGACUAGCAUAUCAAUAAGCGGAGGAAAAGAAACUAACAAGGAUUCCCCUAGUAACGGCGAGUGAAGCGGGAAGAGCUCAAAUUUGGAAUCUUAAAGGGUUUCCCUUUACGAAUUGUAGUUUAAAGAAGUGUUUUCUGUUGAGGUUUUGGUAAAAGUUCUUUGGAAUAGGACAUCAUAGAGGGUGAGAAUCCCGUAUUUGACCUUUACUUUCAACUUUGUGAUACACUUUCAAAGAGUCGGAUUGUUUGGGAAUGCAGUCCAAAAUGGGUGGUAAAUUUCAUCUAAAGCUAAAUAUUGGCGAGAGACCGAUAGCGAACAAGUACCGUGAGGGAAAGAUGAAAAGAACUUUGAAAAGAGAGUUAAACAGUACGUGAAAUUGUCAAAAGGGAAGCGUUUGACACCAGUGUUGUUUUUCUGAAAAUCAAUUAAAGAACUGUUUAUGCUAAGUUGUUUAGACUUUAUCAGCUAACUGUUUAGUUUUGAGCUUUUCUUUAAUGCACUUUUCAGUUAACAAGUCAACAUCAAUUUCUUUUGCUGUAAAAAAGCUUGAGGAAGGUGGCUUGAGAUUCGUCUUAAGUGUUUAUAGCCUCUUGCCUAUGCAGUCGGAGAGAUUGAGGUCUGCAGCGUAGAUCCUUCGGGGCUAAAUGCAUUUGUGCUAAGUUAUAGCAUUUUAUAGACAACUUGUUGACUAUGAUUUGUCUUGUAGCUUACUCGCUUAUGUUAUUUUACCUACGCUUAGGAUGUUGACGCGCGUGUGUGCGUG
RNAcentral lists this ribosomal RNA (774 nucleotides) under uncultured Neocallimastigales. RNAcentral describes it as "partial large subunit ribosomal RNA". It matches the Rfam family "Eukaryotic large subunit ribosomal RNA", at positions 22 to 639 of the family's 3401-position model. Lineage: Eukaryota; Fungi; Neocallimastigomycota; Neocallimastigomycetes; Neocallimastigales. The record is from RNAcentral.